CUGGCGCUCGAGCACUUCGGCGGCCGGGGCCGCUUCGGUCGGUCCCGACGCGGUGCCGACCGAGGUGCCGGCC
RNAcentral lists this transfer RNA (73 nucleotides) under compost metagenome. RNAcentral's name for it is "tRNA-Arg". The record is from RNAcentral.